AAAAAAGGUAAGCUACUAAGAGCGAAUGGUGGAUGCCUUGACUGGUAAAGGCGAUGAAGGACGUACUAGACUGCGAUAAGCUACGGGGAGCUGUCAAGAAGCUUUGAUCCGUAGAUUUCCGAAUGGGGCAACCCAAUGUAUAGAGAUAUACAUUACCUAUAUAGGAGCGAACGAGGGGAAUUGAAACAUCUUAGUACCCUCAGGAAAAGAAAUCAAUAGAGAUUGCGUCAGUAGCGGCGAGCGAAAGCGCAAGAGGGCAAACCCAGUGCUUGCACUGGGGGUUGUAGGACUGCAAUGUGCAAGAGGUAAGUUUAGCAGAACAUUCUGGAAAGUAUAACCAUAGAGGGUGAUAGUCCCGUAUGCGAAAAACAAACCUUAGCUAGCAGUAUCCUGAGUAGGGCGGGACACGAGGAAUCCUGUCUGAAUCCGGGUCGACCACGAUCCAACCCUAAAUACUAAUACCAGAUCGAUAGUGCACAAGUACCGUGAGGGAAAGGUGAAAAGAACUGAGGUGAUCAGAGUGAAAUAGAACCUGAAACCAUUUGCUUACAAUCAUUCAGAGCCUUAUGUAGCAAUACAGGGUGAUGGACUGCCUUUUGCAUAAUGAGCCUGCGAGUUGUGGUGUCUGGCAAGGUUAAGCAAACGCGAAGCCGUAGCGAAAGCGAGUCUGAAUAGGGCGCUUAGUCAGAUGCUGCAGACCCGAAACGAAGUGAUCUAUCCAUGAGCAAGUUGAAGCUAGUGUAAGAACUAGUGGAGGACUGAACCCAUAGGCGUUGAAAAGCCCCGGGAUGACUUGUGGAUAGGGGUGAAAGGCCAAUCAAACUUCGUGAUAGCUGGUUCUCUCCGAAAUAUAUUUAGGUAUAGCGUUGUGUCGUAAUAUAAGGGGGUAGAGCACUGAAUGGGCUAGGGCAUACACCAAUGUACCAAACCCUAUCAAACUCCGAAUACCUUAUAUGUAAUCACAGCAGUCAGGCGGCGAGUGAUAAAAUCCGUCGUCAAGAGGGAAACAACCCAGACUACCAGCUAAGGUCCCUAAAUCUUACUUAAGUGGAAAACGAUGUGAAGUUACUUAAACAACCAGGAGGUUGGCUUAGAAGCAGCCAUCCUUUAAAGAAAGCGUAAUAGCUCACUGGUCUAGUGAUUUUGCGCGGAAAAUAUAACGGGGCUAAAGUAAGUACCGAAGCUGUAGACUUAGUUUACUAAGUGGUAGGAGAGCGUU
RNAcentral lists this ribosomal RNA (1219 nucleotides) under Campylobacter jejuni. RNAcentral describes it as "partial 23S ribosomal RNA". It matches the Rfam family "Bacterial large subunit ribosomal RNA", at positions 1 to 1240 of the family's 2925-position model. The record is from RNAcentral. Lineage: Bacteria; Pseudomonadati; Campylobacterota; Epsilonproteobacteria; Campylobacterales; Campylobacteraceae.